RNAcentral lists this ribosomal RNA (253 nucleotides) under Roseburia faecis M72/1. RNAcentral's name for it is "partial 16S ribosomal RNA". It matches the Rfam family "Bacterial small subunit ribosomal RNA", at positions 524 to 776 of the family's 1533-position model. Lineage: Bacteria; Bacillati; Bacillota; Clostridia; Lachnospirales; Lachnospiraceae. The record is from RNAcentral.
UACGUAUGGUGCAAGCGUUAUCCGGAUUUACUGGGUGUAAAGGGAGCGCAGGCGGUGCGGCAAGUCUGAUGUGAAAGCCCGGGGCUCAACCCCGGUACUGCAUUGGAAACUGUCGUACUAGAGUGUUGGAGGGGUAAGUGGAAUUCCUAGUGUAGCGGUGAAAUGCGUAGAUAUUAGGAGGAACACCAGUGGCGAAGGCGGCUUACUGGACGAUAACUGACGCUGAGGCUCGAAAGCGUGGGGAGCAAACAGG